GCAGCUUGCUGCGGGUACUCCGAGUGGCGAACGGGUGACGUAACACGUGGCGGUGAUCUGCCUUGCACUUCGGGAUAAGCUUGGGAACACUGGGUCUAAUACCGGAUAGGACAGCCUGUUUAGUGUCAUUGUGGAAAGUUUUUUCGGUGCAAGAUGAGCUCGCGGCCUAUCAGCUUGUUGGUGGGGUAAUGGCCUACCAAGGCGUCGACGGGUAGCCGGCCUGAGAGGGUGUACGGCCACAUUGGGACUGAGAUACGGCCCAGACUCCUACGGGAGGCAGCAGUGGGGAAUAUUGCACAAUGGGCGGAAGCCUGAUGCAGCGACGCCGCGUGGGGGAUGAAGGCCUUCGGGUUGUAAACUCCUUUCGACAGGGACGAAGCGUAAGUGACGGUACCUGUAUGAGAAGCACCGGCUAACUACGUGCCAGCAGCCGCGGUAAUACGUAGGGUGCGAGCGUUGUCCGGAAUUACUGGGCGUAAAGAGCUCGUAGGUGGUUUGUCGCGUCGUCUGUGAAAUUCCGGGGCUUAACUCCGGGCGUGCAGGCGAUACGGGCUGACUUGAGUGCUGUAGGGGAGACUGGAAUUCCUGGUGUAGCGGUGAAAUGCGCAGAUAUCAGGAGGAACACCGAUGGCGAAGGCAGGUCUCUGGGCAGUAACUGACGCUGAGGAGCGAAAGCAUGGGUAGCGAACAGGAUUAGAUACCCUGGUAGUCCAUGCCGUAAACGGUGGGCGCUAGGUGUAGGGGGCUUCCACGUCUUCUGUGCCGUAGCUAACGCAUUAAGCGCCCCGCCUGGGGAGUAC
RNAcentral lists this ribosomal RNA (800 nucleotides) under uncultured Actinomycetes bacterium. RNAcentral describes it as "bacterial SSU rRNA". It matches the Rfam family "Bacterial small subunit ribosomal RNA", at positions 75 to 883 of the family's 1533-position model. Lineage: Bacteria; Bacillati; Actinomycetota; Actinomycetes. The record is from RNAcentral.